Molecule: ribosomal RNA, 921 nt
Filed under: Triticum aestivum (bread wheat)
Lineage: Eukaryota; Viridiplantae; Streptophyta; Magnoliopsida; Poales; Poaceae
Description: partial small subunit ribosomal RNA
Source: RNAcentral
AUGCUUGAAGCUGAGAGGUGCUCGCUCGCGGGCUGUUGUACGUAUCUGGAACUAGAAGCUCAGUCUGGUACGCACGUUGCGGAGGGUGCUCGUACUGUCGUACAGGCCGAUUCUUUGAUCAGUAAUUAUUGGGGCGUGAUCCCAGCGGCUGGCCGUGCCGCGGCCAUCAAUGCCGCAUUUAGUGAAGCCUCCCGAGGCCAGCGGCGGCCUCCGGCACGCAACCUCACCGCCGGGCUCGGUCCCGGCCGCCGCGAAACCCUGAGAGCUACGCGGCGGUGUCGGCAUGGUCCGCGAGGUCGCCGUCGGGGGCGCCCACGUGGCGCCCCGACGGGGCCCGAGAGGGACGGGCAUUCAAGCCGGUCGAAAGGGAGGCCGGGGUGGCAAGUGAGGUGUCCCGGCUCCGGAGGUGGACUUCCUGUGCGCCGGUGCUCCAUCAUGACCCCUCCCGCGCUUGAUGACGGUCCAUGCGAUGCAACGCAAGACCGUGGGCGCUGGCCUGACCACUGUGGAGUCGUAGCGUCGUCCGGCCCGGGGCUUCAAUGCCGCGAGAUUGGUAGGGUCUUGGGUGGGUAUAUGCCUGGAUGGAUGUGUACUGGACUGCGGCAGUGGUAUUGGACGAGCACGCCUGUAUGCGUGUGCGCGCUGCGUUUCUCCCGUUGUGGCUGUUUAAGAUUGCGUGGAGUGUUCGGGCUCACGGCAUCUAGAGCCUGGACGAUGGCACUCCGGCGCAACCGAAACACCGGAGCAAGAGGAUUUCAGGCAAAAGCUAGAAGCACCGGGACACCGAUCUCCAGCUUAUUAUUAGUUCACUUCGCCCCACGUAUAGCCGUGGCAAAAAAGCGUCGCUUGUUUGGUGCCAAUGCGUCUACGAAAAGUCCACUAGGAGCAGGGACAGGACAGCACCAACAAUGCAAAAAAUAG